Beta vulgaris subsp. vulgaris (sugar beet) is the source of this 1198-nucleotide long non-coding RNA. RefSeq lists it as uncharacterized. The transcript is spliced from 4 exons. The record is from RefSeq and is a predicted model, not a curated record. NCBI's taxonomy places the organism in Eukaryota, Viridiplantae, Streptophyta, Magnoliopsida, Caryophyllales, Amaranthaceae.
CCUUGACAUAUUUCAAUUUUUUUUUUUUGUUACAAUUUCUUCAACAUAAUACUAGUGUACAUGCUAUACACUCUACUUAUUGUGAUAUAAGAGACUAUUUAUAACUAAAACUGAUUUCCUUGGAAUAAUUUAAUUCAUUUUUUUUAAAACAAAAUACUAUAUACUAUAUCUAUACGUGCUAUUCUUUUUUUUUUUUUUUAGAAUUGUUUUCCCUCCUUGCAGCAACAAAUAAGGAGCAUACCUUUAAAAAAAAACAAUACCAUUUGUUUUCCCUCUCUUUAACUUCAUUCUCUCCCGUCAAAAAAAAAACUUCAUUCUCGCUGCCUCUCUCUCUCUAUCUUGUUUUUGCCAAAUUCUAGGGUUUUGCUGAGCUUCCAAGAUUCUCUCAUGGCAUCAAAGCGUAUCCUCAAGGAACUAAAGGAUCUCAUAAAGAUCCUCCGACUUCAUGCAGUGCUGUGCUGGAGCAUCUGUUGGCUAAUUGAAUUAGGAACACAUUUUUGAGGCAAUGUAUUUGAUUUCAUAUUGCUUCACAAGUAACUAUAUUCAAGCAGCGUGCUAGUAGAUUGGCAUCCCUCAAUGCAAAGCUGAUUGGUAGAGUUGGUGACUUCUGCUAUGUCCAAGAAGGGCUUCAGCUUGGGUAGCUUUUUGGCAAUAGAUUCACAAUAACUCUUAGGGUCUAUGACCAGCCCUGAUGGGUUAUAUCUAUGGGAAGUUGUGUAAAUGGAGGUGGAUAUCUGUCCCUGGCUGCCCACCAACAGUUGAGGCUUGUUUAUGGACUUCUGCAGCUACAGAUAGAAGAAAAUUAACAAGCGCAAGGAUUUACUUCACUUGUGGACCAAGUGAGCACAUUCUGCUUAUAUUCCUUUAACAUGGCUACAUUUUGGCAAGAUACUAAUCAGUGUAGUAUAUGCCGGCUUGUUAUGGCCAAGGGUCAUUCAUGAUAUCUGAAGAAAGCCCCUUGAAAUUACUCUAAACUGUGAUGCCCAGUUGCCGUUUUUUAUUGUAUCUAAUGAGAGGUUUAUAUGUUCUUUUAGUUUUCUUAGUUCCAGAUUUCUAAAAACAAAUUGAAACUCUAUAUGUUAUUUUUCUUUCUGGCUAAAGUGAAGCUAUCCUUUGGUUUUGUGUUUGGGUUAAGGAUGAAGAGAACCUUUCAUAAAAAUUCAGUCUUCUAAUAAGAUUCUGAAACUUUGUAUGUUCA